RNAcentral lists this transfer RNA (65 nucleotides) under Aulorhynchus flavidus (tube-snout). RNAcentral's name for it is "tRNA-Cys". Lineage: Eukaryota; Metazoa; Chordata; Actinopteri; Perciformes; Aulorhynchidae. The record is from RNAcentral.
GGCCUUGAGGUGUUAUCACGCUAGAUUGCAAAUCUUGAGAGGCAGACUAAUUGCUGCCAGGGCCU